AGUAGCCGCGGUAAUUCCAGCUCCAAUAGCGUAUAUUAAAGUUGUUGCAGUUAAAAAGCUCGUAGUUGAAUUUCGGGGUUAGUAGGUUGGUCAUGCCUCUGGUAUGUACUGAUCUCACUGAUUCCUCCCUCUUGACGAACUGUAAUGUCAUUAAUUUGGUGUUGCAGGAAAUCAGGACUGUUACUUUGAAAAAUUAGAGUGUUUAAAGCAGGCUUAGGCUUGAAUACAUUAGCAUGGAAUAAUGAAAUAGGACGUUUGAACCUAUUUUGUUGGUUUCUAGGAUCGACGUAAUGAUUAAUAGGGAUAGUUGGGGGCAUUAGUAUUCAAUUGUCAGAGGUGAAAUUCUUGGAUUUAUUGAAGACUAACUACUGCGAAAGCAUUUGCCAAGGAUGUUUUCAUUAAUCAAGAACGAAAGUUAGGGGAUCGAAGACGAUCAGAUACCGUCGUAGUCUUAACCAUAAACUAUGCCGACUAGGGAUCGGAUGAUGUUAAUUUUUUAAUGACUCAUUCGGCGCCUUAA
RNAcentral lists this ribosomal RNA (520 nucleotides) under uncultured Glomus. Its description in RNAcentral is "SSU rRNA". It matches the Rfam family "Eukaryotic small subunit ribosomal RNA", at positions 569 to 1091 of the family's 1831-position model. The record is from RNAcentral. Lineage: Eukaryota; Fungi; Glomeromycota; Glomeromycetes; Glomerales; Glomeraceae.